CGUGUGUGUGUGUGUGUGUGUGUGUGUGUGUGAUGUUCCCUCAUUGCGUUCCCUCAAACCCUGACACACACACACACACACACACACACACACACC
This 96-nucleotide microRNA precursor is filed under the name Podarcis lilfordi (Lilford's wall lizard). Lineage: Eukaryota; Metazoa; Chordata; Lepidosauria; Squamata; Lacertidae. The record is from RNAcentral.